CAAUGGCAUCUUUAAUUCAAAAUUAUAUUUUCCUUACAUUUUCACGUUCUCUCUCUUCCUCUUCUUCUUCCUUCUUUCUUUUGAUACCUCUCUCUUUCUCUGCUAUUUUCUGCUUACUUCUCUCAAUCUUCUUCUUUCUUCUCUUUUGUGUUGCCUCACUCUUUCUUUUCUUCUUUCUUCCUAUUUUUCUGUCUUCUCUUUCAUCUCAUCUAGGGUUUGGUUUCAUCUCAUCUUCGACAUGGCUAAAAUCUAAUUCGUCCUUCUAAUGAGUUCGUUGAAGUUCGAAUCCAUCACAAAUGGGUUGUUGUCAACAAGAACAAGGAACGCGUCAGGAUGGUUGUUGUUCAUAGAGAUAUUUUAGGGUUUCAUACUCAGAUUCAAUUUUCGAGUGGUAUGUCUGUCUGAACGAUAAUUCAAACUGCAGCCUAAUAUCGUGGAGCGUCAUCUCCAUGAUCUCUCACAAAGAUACAGAGAAAUGUUAUCGGUUGAUCUAACUCGCGAACAAAGAUUCAUUGCACUGGUGAUGUGUGUUACACGUCAUCAAAAGUUAUAGGAUUUGUAGAUCCUGGUAUGGUCUAUGAUGAGAUAAAAUUGAGUGGUUUUAAAGUUCAGAAUACAUCUCCUGGUGUUCUAGGUCACUGUUUCAUUGAGGUAUAUUAUAUUUCUAGGUCACUGUUCUAUACACCGUAUUAUAUUUUUAGUUUGUUUUAUAUAUACUAAGAGAAGGUACUUGAAGAUACACAAUUAUGAGAAGGUUAAAUGUAAGACUUUUCAUUAGAGUUGAAGCAUAAUGAGAUUUUGAGCUUUUUAUUUAAACUUUUGGUGAGAUAAUUUGGUGUAACAUUGUUGAAAUUGUUUCACAUGGUUAUGAUGUGACCAUACACAUGAUUGAAGAUCACACCAUAAUUGCGAUGUGAUAUCGUUGUCAAAGCUGCUGCAACAACAAUAUUGUGGCCGCAAUAGCGGUUGUAAACCACAAUUUAAAAUCAUUUUUUUUCUAAUUUUAUGUGUUUGUUUCUGUGUGUUGUUAUGUAUCCUCUUUUUUCCAUGCAGGUGUUUAAACUGGUAUAUAAAAAUCAGCAGUACACGAAAAUUUGUUGAUUUUGUGAUAUCUAAGCUAUAUGUUUUAUUGCUUUCUUCUGGUUACAUGCCUGCCUUCCCUAUAUGUGUUGCCCAGUGUGUCAUUUCAUUUCAGUUUGUCUCAAUUUUUCAUCUGAUGACCUUCAUUUUGCUAUGAUUAACACAAAUUUCAAGAGCACAAGUUUUAACUCCACCAAAUUGCUUCCCUAUAUAUGGUUCUAAUGCAAGAUUUGAGGUAUACAUAAAGUAAUUACUUGAUUGUUAUUUAUUUGAUUUUUUAUCUUUGAUCACACCAGUAUUCCACUUGAUUGAUUAUAGAUAAGGAUGAGUGAACCUAAAGUCCUAGAAUUUUCUUAUCCAAACAAGCUUAGAAUUUAAUUUACGCUUGCUAUAUAAUAUAUUUAACAAAAGUAUGAUACUGUUAAAUAAAUAUCACUACUUAUCACAAUUAGCAUAAUACUAAGUUGAAUCAUUGUACUUAAAUUUAUCAAUUAUGAUAUGCAGAUAACUCAUGGCUUAGUGGACAGAGUAAUGGAAAAGAAUGGGAUUACCUUUGUUUCACCUGGUGAUAUAUCAGGAAACCACUUUAUUCCAAUUCUAACUACGAGUUUAUGAACUCAAUGUUUAUUGAAGGAGCUGGAGUAUAUAUUUGUGAACAGCUUGAAAAUGGUUUCAAGGGAAACUAUUUUCCACCCAAAUUGGUAUAGGAAUCGACAUUGCAAUUGACGUGUCCCAGUUUCAAUUUGAUGAAAUGUUUGAAGAAGGUGGCAAUACUCUUGAAGUUGAAGAAGAGAAAUCCAAAAUUAUAAUUGAGAAAACAGUUUUUGAUCACAUCCACUGUCCAGACAGACUUUGGUCACAUCGCUUCAGUUAAUUUAUUUCAAAGAGCUUAACAGUUUUGAAUUGCUCAAUUUGUGAGCACCAUAACCUGAAGCUCCCGGGUUAGGCACCACACCAGAGAUAAAAAAGAGAAGUUGAUAGAAUAAGUUUAUUGGAAUUGACUUAAGGUUGAAGAUGCUGAAAAUGUUUGUUGAUAUGUGGGGUAACAUAGACACGUGAUGAGGUUAAUUUGGAUCUUUUGAUAUGUCAUCAAUCAAUAGAUGCUUGAUAAAGGCAAGGAUCAAAUAUACUUUUGAAAUUUACGCUCUAAAAUUAACAUGUAACAAAAUUAAUCAGUGCGCUACAUUUUGUGCUCACAAAAUUUAACCUUUUGUGUGGGAGGGUUACAUAUUUUUCUGGACCGCGAGGUUCUCAAUUUUUUAUACUGGGGUAUCAGUUCAUUUUUGUCUGUGCAUUGUUUACCUUAAAUGGUUUUCCAUUUUCUUUAGAUAUUUUACAAAUCAGUAUUAUUUAAAGUGGCAAUUUUCUCUACAAUCUUAUUAGAGAUUAUUUAAUGUGGUUUUCCAUCUAAGGAAGUUUACCCCUCAGAUCAACUAGCGGGAUACCCGUGCCUUCGCACGGGUAACGGCGUCGUACUCUCAUUUGUUUUAGAUCGUUUAUUUUAUAUAGAAAAUUAAAUAAGAUAUUUAAAUAAAAAUUAUAUGCAAAAAUAAAUAUGAAGACAGGAAGAAAGAUUGAUACAUAUAUUGGUUCCCAAUAUAUAAUAAAAAUAAAAUAAUUUUUUAAAAAAAAGAUGAUAAAUCGGUGCCUGUAAUUUAAUAUUUUG
This is a long non-coding RNA of Vicia villosa (hairy vetch), 2746 nucleotides long. RefSeq lists it as uncharacterized. Lineage: Eukaryota; Viridiplantae; Streptophyta; Magnoliopsida; Fabales; Fabaceae. The transcript is spliced from 7 exons. The record is from RefSeq and is a predicted model, not a curated record.